AGCCAGUGUGGCCUAGUGGUUUGAGCAUUGGACUAUGACUCUGGAGACCAGGAUUGGAACCCCUGCUUGGUUG
Non-coding RNA from Phrynosoma platyrhinos (Desert horned lizard), 73 nucleotides. NCBI's taxonomy places the organism in Eukaryota, Metazoa, Chordata, Lepidosauria, Squamata, Phrynosomatidae. The record is from the annotation of a GenBank genome assembly.